CAACCCUCACGCUCUGCGUGGUAUUGGGCUGGCCCUCCUGGGCCUGCCUCAAAGUCAGUGGCGGCUCCGUUCGACCCCCUAAGCGUAGUAAUACUUCUCGCUUCUGGAAGUCGGCCGGCGGCCUGCUAAGCACCCCCACACUUCUUAAA
Molecule: unclassified non-coding RNA, 149 nt
Filed under: uncultured Coccomyces
Lineage: Eukaryota; Fungi; Ascomycota; Leotiomycetes; Rhytismatales; Rhytismataceae
Description: sequence contains ITS2
Source: RNAcentral